Long non-coding RNA from Oryza brachyantha (malo sina), 1253 nucleotides. RefSeq lists it as uncharacterized. Lineage: Eukaryota; Viridiplantae; Streptophyta; Magnoliopsida; Poales; Poaceae. The transcript has 6 exons. The record is from RefSeq and is a predicted model, not a curated record.
AGGCUGCCGGAGGCGGCCGUUGCGACGGGUUCGGCCGGAUCGAUGACGGAUCCAGCUGAGAAGGGUGCAGAUCCGGUGAUGCCGGUCGUGCAUCUGGGAGCCUACGGUCGUUGUUUGCGACGGCGGCCUUGACUGGACUUUCGUUGCCACGGCAUGCCGGCCCCUCGCCGUGCUCACGUCGCCCUUUUUUCGUUCGCCGUCUGAUCGUUCGUUUGUGGCCUGAUGCGUUGCUCUCUCUCAGUUUUCCCUCUCUGCCUCCGCGAGCUCUCGGGGAGCCGCGCCGCACGAGCACCGAGCAGCCAAGGACUUGGCGUCGCUCCUGGAAGCGUACCGCCGCGAUCGGCGCGCCCUCCUCGGCUUCAUCCUCUCCACCGUCGGCGGCCGCGCCGUCGACCUCUCCCGCGUGGACCUCGACGCCGUCAGCGCCGACUACGCCCUUGACUGCGUCGCCUCCGCUCCAACUGAUUUGACACACUGGCCAAAUGUUUGAUGAUUUCUACUUGGGGGAUGCUGAGUAUGACCAGGAGACCCCUGAGAACCUCAACUUCGCUAUGAACUUCACCGAGAAAGCUCUGUGCUAUCAUGAUUCAGCUGUAGGUGGCCAACAAGAGCGAAGCCUCAAUCUCUCUUGAGGACAACGACACUGUUAUUGUCGCCUCUGACUACGCUCAAGAGGCCUCCUCACAUCUUCAGACUUGGUAUCCAUUAACUUCUUUCGGCUUACUAAGGCAACAGCUGAGAAAAAAAAAGGGAGAACCUCCCCAGAUUGCAUCGUUUGAUGAACUAUCUCCUUCUGGUACCCAGGACAAGAUAAUUAAUACUUAUCUCUGCUUUCAACCAAAAACUAUAAACACUGACAAGAUAAACUAUGCUACAAGGCAAAGGCACCCACAAUAGCAGUAGAAGAUACUCCAUCAGCAUCCCCAUCAUCGCCUACCAAAAACAUUCCCCAAAAAGGUCUGCAGCCUCUGCCUCAGCUGCUAAGAAACUAUUGAAAGCGGAUGAAGAAGGAAACAACAUGCAACACAGUACUGCCCCUUUUGGUUAUAUAUGUCCAGGAUGGCAUCAGUAUGCACAACUAGCCUUAGAAGCAACACUAUUUGUUUACAACCUUUGCAUUAUGGCCAGUAAUGUAAAUAGCUGCUAUCAUAUAUAUGGCGUUUGGUUCCUAGAAUCCUUUUGCUUUACACAAAACUGCAAUCCAGACUAUUACAAGCACUUAUGGUUAAAAUCCUAUAAGCCUUAAUUAUUAU